Molecule: long non-coding RNA, 7063 nt
Filed under: Sus scrofa (pig)
Lineage: Eukaryota; Metazoa; Chordata; Mammalia; Artiodactyla; Suidae
Description: lncRNA (ENSSSCG00015064878.1)
Source: RNAcentral
UUUUUUUUUUUUUUUUUUUUUUUUUUUGUAUUUUUAGGGCUUUGCCUGUGGCAUAUGGAGGUUCCCAGGCUAGGUAUCAAAUUGGAGCUGUGGCCACUGGCCUACGCCACAGCCACAGCAACGUGGGAUCUGAGCCUCGUCUGCGAUCUACACCACAGUUUAGGGCAAUGCAGAUCCUUAACCCAUUGAGCGAGGCCAGGGAUAGAACCUGUGUCCUCAUGGAUGCUAGUCAGAUUUGUUUCUGCUGAGCCAUGGCAGGAACUCCAAGAAACAUCUUUCAUUUGAAGAUCAUGUGUUUGAUUCCUUUUUUACAAAUCCAAAUCCAAAUGAGGAAAGCUUUUUUCUUCCCAUUUUGUUGAUGAUAACAGAGACACUGUAGGCAGUAUCUAGAGAUGAGAACAAAAAGUACGUUUCACUCUAGUACACUAUUCAGUCUAGUUGCCAGUCUCAAAUGCUUUGGGAAGCCUACAGGUUGCCAGAAUUUAGCUUCAUGAACAUAUAUAAAGAUUGAACCUCCUCAUUUUCUCAGAUUAUUUUCUGUUGAGAUUCAGACCUUGUGUUUAUAGGGUUGCUUAACACGAGUGCCCAUGGGCCCCACUUCUCUUGUUUUUAGGAAAGGAAGCCUUGAGGCAACAGCACUACUGAGGUGACCAGCCUCCCCAAGAGUAGUCCCCUUGUCUAGCACAGGCUAACAAGCAGAGGAGAGCCUUGAUGUUGCAUCCUGUAAGGAUAUUCUUCCUUCACAGUAUAGGUAGAUUAUUAGGAGUCUGACCUUGGCUCUUGCACUUUUUGUAUGAUGAAUCUUUUUUGUGUUUGUACUUUUGAAUUGUGAGCUAGUCUUCAGUAAGGCUUUAUCUGUUGGAAUCUUAUGUGGUUAAGGUUGAAUUAUAUCUUAAGAGUUUUUUUUUUUUUUUUUUUCUUUUUUGGCCACCUCACAGCAUAUGGAGUUCCUGGGCUAGGGAUCAGAUCCAAGCUACAUUUUUGACCUAUACUGUAGUUGCACCAUGCAGGAUCCUUUUAACCCACUGUGCUGCCGGGCCAGGGAUUGAGCCUGCAACCUGGCACUGCAGAGACUCUGCCAAAUCCAAUUGUGCCACAGCGGGAACUUCUCAGACAUGUUUUAUAUUUGCUUCUAGGCAACUAAGAUGUAUAACUUGCUUGGGACCACUUUAGUUUGGGUUAGUUUCUUGGGCCAUGUAGAUAAGUGUAUAUUGGAACCUCAAAUUGGUUUGAGGGCAGACUCCUGAUUACAGACCUUUCUUUUUUCCUUUGAUCUAGAUUGACACAGAUUUUAUGUUCUCUUCUGUGUUGGUAGUUAGAUCUUUUUCUAGAUCACUCUUUAAUGAGAGUAUAAUUCUUCAGGGUCCAGGCUUUAUGUAGAGGUCGUAGCCCCUUCUUUUUAGCUUCCUUGAGCACAAAGCAUUGUCUUUUAUCCCCACCGCCACUAUCCCCUCAUGUAAGAUUGGCACCUUCCUCUUUCCCAGGACUGCUGUAGUGUCAGCCCUCGAGAAUAUCUGUGUUUUCAGUUUAGCUUUCAUUCUUGAUCCUUGGGGAUUCCUAUUACUUUGUGUGUGUGUGUGUGAGAGAGAGAGAGAGAGAGAGAGAGAGAGAGAGAGAGAGAGAGAGAGAGCGAGCGAGCGAGCUAGAGAGGGAAAAUAACUACAUUUUAAAUGGAUGCUUAUUAUAAUUUUACGCAUAUUUCUAGGUGAUUUUCAGGGUCUCCCCCCUUGCCAAGAGGCCAAGCAAGAAGUCCUUGUGCAACUCAUUAGAUGUACUUUGUGCACUGUGGUUCUAUCUUGUUGGUUUCUUUCUUUUUUUUUCUUUUUGUCUUUUGUCUUUUUAGGGCCACACCAGUGGCAUAUGGAGGUUCCCAGGCUAGGGGUCUAAUCAGAGCUGUUGCUGCCGACCUACACCACAGCCAUAGCACUGCCAGAUCCGAGCUGUGUCUAUGACCUACACUACAGCUCAUGGCAACACUGGAUCCUUAACCCACUGAGCGAGGCCGGGGAUUGAACCCGCAACCUCAUGGUUCCUAGUCGGAUUCGUUUUACCAUGGGGCCACAAUGGGAACUCCAAGUCAAAAAUCUUAAGUAGAGGCCUGCCUACUAUGUCAUAUCCAAGCUGGUGCAAAAAUAACUUAAUGAGAAGUUCCCACUGUGGUGCAGUUGUGUUAAUGAUCUGGCAUUAUCUCUGUGGAGGCAUGGGGUUUGAUCCCCUGCCAGUGCAGUGGGUUAAGGAUCAGUUGUUGCCACAGCUGUGGUAUAGAUGGUAGUUGUGGCUCAGAUUCCACCCCUGGCCUGGGAACUUCCAUGUGCCACAGAUGUGGCUAAAACAGAUUUACAAAUAAAAUAACAAUGAUAAGAACUUCAUCAAGAGCAGAACUGUCGUAAAACAGAGACAUUUGAAUGUGAAGAGGCCCACCUGUCAGAAUGUUUUUGGUUAUGGAAGCCAGUGUUUUCUGUUUUUAGUUAAUAGGAGGGAUGAUGAGGAGAUUCUGAAAAUAGCUGUGAUGUGGGUGUUCAGUAGUUUAUCUAUUAGCAUGGCCUCUAACCCUGGGUUUAUAAUGCUCUGCAGAUGCCACCAUUGACUCAGCUGGGCCUUUUGUUCAGCUUCACUGUUACAUAACAGUGAGUUGCAUCCUCAUUCUUGUAUGCUGUGGUGAGGAGGCGGGGAGGAUUAGCUCCUCAUCCUGUCCUUUUUCUGCCACUCACUCCCCUUUUGGGGACAUUUUUGUUUUGGCUACAGUGCUGGGGCAAUGUCCACUUGAGACUAGGUCACAUGAAUAUUUAAUGUCUUCUUGUUGACUGAAUGGCCAGAAGAUUGGAACUUUAUUAACCCUCUUUCCCAAAUGCAGGCCUGGAGUCUUUGUCCUUGAGAUUUGACAGCUGUCUCUAGGUGUUCCACUUUUAUUCUUCACUCUCAAUCUACUAGAUUAUUCUUGGAUGGUUGGUUGCCAGCUGUUGGCAUGUGAUUGCUGAUGAGGUAGAGGUUUGGGAUUUAAAUCUAGGGUACAGCCUUAGCCUGGUUAGAGAGAAACCAUGCAGCCCCAAACUGUACCAUUAGUUGAAUUAGGGUGAAUGAGUAUCUCUGGGUACCAAGGGACCAUGUGAGAGAGUGUAGAUAUGUUUAGGGCAAAUGUUUAGUAUAAUUAGAGGAGGAAGAUUCAUUGUACAUUUCCUGGUGGGAUAGUAAUGUCAUUUUUCAUUUUCGUGUUUGGGAUAUAUUUUAACUUAUGAUUAGAUUUGGUUAGGUAUUUGGUAUUUAUUCAAGUGGUACAGGCUUCUUUGGUGUCCAAAAAUGAAUUUUUGUUGUUUUCAUUUUGGAGUCAGAUAGUCUUAGGGCUUCUUGCUCUACAUCUGAGUUUUUUUCAUUGGGGCAUAUAUUUAUUAUAUCACCCCCACAGUGCCUGGCACAGUGUCUUUAUCAUAGACGGUACCUAAGUUUGGGACCGAAAAAGUUUCUAGCCUUUCUGCCUUUCCCUUUGACCAUUCUUUCUUCAGAUAACUGUUAGCCACUUUUUUCUUUAAAAUAUUUCCUCGAGCUUUUAGUUCAUCUCAGCCUUCUCCCUUCAUCCCCACUAUCAUGACAUUAUCUCCUGCCCAUAAUGUCCCUGUGUAUACUAUUUUGGUCUCUUCAUUAUAUCACGUCUCCUUUGAUAUACUGAAGUUUGACCUUGUCUUCAUGGCAUAGCAACUUUUAUCUGAAGAGUAAUGGGAGGUACAUGGCUGGGUAUGCAUAUACACCACAGGCCAUGUUCCAGUCUUUGACAGAUGGCCCUUCUUCCCAAGGGUUUGCAUCUAUUAUUUUCUGCUUAUGAAAAGGAGGUUCUCCUGCAGGUCCUCUUUUUACUUGUAAAAUUUGUAGCCUUAGUAACAUCCAGACUCCAUAUGCUUUCCCCAAGAGACAUUAUAGGAGUAUUCAUUUAAAAGAAGAAACCUCUUUUCUACUUUACUAUAUUGGCUUUAGGUCAAGCACACACUUGCUUUCUUACUUAUCUUUGCUAAUGUUCUUAUGUCACUGUUUUCUGCAGUAUUUAUGUUCAGUGUUAGACUAGGGAGAAGUAUAGCACAAGUUUACAUAAGUUAACUCUGAUUGGCUCAGUGAUAUGAAUCUUAAACUCCUUAUUUCUACAGUUUGAGAGAGAGAGAGAGAGAGAGAGAGAGAGAGAGAGAGAGAGAGAGUGAGAGUGUCUGUGUGUAUGUGUAUAAGAUCCUAAGGAAAGUUCCCCUUGUGGUCUGUGGUAAUGAAGCCGACCAGUCCAUGAUGAUGUGGGUUCGAUCCCUGGCCCUACUUAGUGGGUUAAGGAUCCCCCAUUGCCAUGAACUGUGGUGUAGGUCACAGACACUGCAUAGAUCUGGCAUUGCUGUGGCCGUGGUGUAGGCUGGCAGCUGCAGCUCUGAUUUGACCCCUAGCCUAGGAAUAUGCUACAGGUGCAGCACUGAAAGAAAAAAAAACAAAAACAAAAACCUAAGAUCUGGGCACAGGUUGAAUAACCUUGGCCAUAAAGUAACAGUGAAAUACAUAACCUAGAUAGAGUACUUAAGUCUUCUUAGAAUUCUGUUCAGAACUGGGCCACAUCUACACAAACAGGGAGGGCAAGCUAGUGAGUCCAAUUUGUACCUGCCUGUGAGGUGCUGUUUGUUUAUGACAUUGAUCAGACCUAGAGCCUUCCAGAGGGAACCCAAGGGAGAUUUGUUUCAGAGAUUGUUCCAAUUCCUGCUGGGCUCAGAGGAAGAGAGAGGAAAGCCUAUCCCCAAGCUGUGCAUGGGGAUGCUGGGAGGCUUAAUUAGCCUUUUAACCCUAAGUUAUUGUGUCUUAAAGGAAAGGAAGUUUAUUACUAAUUUGUUAUUAAUUACCUAAAGAGAAAAGUAAGCUAGAUAAUUUUUCAAAUUUGUACUUUGACGUAAGAUUUUUUUUUCUUUAUUAUUUAUUUAUUUGCCUUUUCUAGGGCCGCUCCCACGUCAUAUGGAGGUUCGCAGGCUAGGGUUCUAAUCAGGGCUGUAUCUGCCAGCCUAUACCACAGCCACAGCAACAUGGGAUCCGAGCCGCGUCUGCAACCUACACCACAGCUCACGGCAACGCUGGAUGACAUAAGAUAUUUUUGUACUCAAGUGUUUAAACCUUUGGAGAACCAGGAAUAGAUGAUUUUAUUCUCUGUUAACUGUCUUUCAGAAGGUUAUUUUUAACUUCUAAAUACUUGAUUAUAUUUUUCCUAAAGACAUUUUCUUAUAUAACCACCGAACAGUUCUCAAAAUCAGAAAAUAAUAAUUGAUACAAUACUGUUAGCCAAUCCAUAGUCCAUAUUCAGGUGUAUCAGCUAUUGUCCUCAGCACUGGCUUUUAUAGCUGUUAUCUUCCCCAGGUCCAGGAUCUAAUCAGGAUCCCGCAUUGAAUUUAUUUAUUUUUAUUAUUUUUUUAUUAUAGUUGAUUUACAAUGUUUUGUCAAUUUCUGCUGUACAGCACAGUGACCCAGUUAUACAUGUAUGUACAUUCUUUUUCUCACAUUAUCUUCCAUCACAAAUGAUUAGAUAUAGUUCCCUGUGCUAUACAGCAGGAUAUUAUUGGUUAUCCACUCCAGAUGCUAUAGUUUGCAUCUACUAACCUCAAACCACAUUGAAUUCAGUCUCCUCUAAUCUAAAAUAGUUCUUAGAGAAUUACUUUACAUUUAUGGUAUAAAAAAAAAAAGAUUUUGGGGAUUGUGUUUGAACGGAACUCCUUAAUGUAAUUCACUUCUUUCACAUUUUAGCAGCUAUUAAUAGGUUUGGUCAUCUAAGGGGGUGUGUUAGCUAAGGGAGGGGCAGUAUCUAAUAGAUGAUGGUUAGACUCUAUAUGUAUUUUGAAUUGCUUAGAUCACUGAAUGAUCCUUCUUGGUUCUGCUGGUUUUUUUUUUUUUUUUUUUGUCUAAUUCCGUAAUCAUUUUUUAUUAUCCACUGAAAAUAUGGAAAGCAGUGUUGGAAACAGAUUUGGUUUAUCUGUGGUUGUUUUCUUCUUUUGUGAUUUAAGGGGGUGAACCCACUAUGGAUUCCCACUUAACAAAUCCAUAUGUCAUUUAAUUACUAAUAUAAGUCAGCUGGAAAUGUGACAUUUAGUAUUUUAAAGGUACAGGUACAGAGUUCCCUUGUGACGCAGCAGAUUAAAGAUCCGGUAUUGUCACAGCAGUUGCUCAGGUCAUAGCUGUGUCAUAGUUUCAGUCCCUGGCCUGAAAACUUCCCCAUGCCAUAGGAACAACAAAAAAAAAAAAAAAAAGGUACAGGUACCAGCUGCAUUGAAAUAAAUGCCACAAUUUAUUUUUCUAUAUAAGAAGUCAAGAAAUAAUUGAGCUUUAUAUUUUCCAUUGUACUUUGCAGAUGUAAGUUUUUCCUGUGAUUUAUCAUUUUUUUUAAUUCUUUUUUUUUUCUUUUUUUUUGUCUUUUUGCCUUUUCUAGGGCCACUCCCAUGGCAUAUGGAGUUUCCCGGGCUAGGGGUAUAAUUGGAGCUGCAGCCACCGGCCUACUCCAGAGCCACAGCAACUUGGGAUCUGAGCUGCGUCUGCAACCUACACCACAGCUUACGGCAACGCCAGAUCCUUAGCCCAUUGAACAACGCCAGGGAUUGAACCUGCGACCUCAUGGUUCCUAGUCUGAUUCGUUGACCAUUGCACCACGAUGGGAACUCCGAUUUGUCAUUUAAAUCCUUGUGGGCACUGGGAUGUUCUCCAGCUUCAAUAACCAAUUACCUGAUUCUCUAGAUAUUAACUGGGUAUCCAGCAACUCAUUUCUGAUACUGAUUACGCAGAGUUAGUGCAGACUCUACAGGUUAAGGCCACAGUCCCGGAGUUCCCGUUGUGGCUCAGGGGGUUAAGAAUUCAACUAGUAUACAUGAGGAUGCAGGUUCGAUCCCUGGCCUCGCUCAGUAGGUUGAGGAUCCUGUGUUGCCUCCAGCUGUUGCAUAGGUCUCAGAUGCAUCUCGGAUAUGGUGUUGUUAUGGCUGUGGCAUAGGCUGGCAGCUGCGGCUCUGACUUGACCCCUAGCCUGGCAACUUCCAUAUGCCACAAGUACAGCCCUAACAAAAAAAAAAAAAAAAAA